This 835-nucleotide ribosomal RNA is filed under the name Marisediminicola sp. RNAcentral's name for it is "bacterial SSU rRNA". It matches the Rfam family "Bacterial small subunit ribosomal RNA", at positions 48 to 897 of the family's 1533-position model. The record is from RNAcentral. Lineage: Bacteria; Bacillati; Actinomycetota; Actinomycetes; Micrococcales; Microbacteriaceae.
CUUACCAUGCAGUCGAACGAUGACCUGGAGCUUGCUCUGGUGAUUAGUGGCGAACGGGUGAGUAACACGUGAGUAACCUGCCCUCCACUCUGGGAUAAGCACUGGAAACGGUGUCUAAUACCGGAUAUGAGCUUCCGCCGCAUGGUGAGGAGCUGGAAAGAAUUUUGGUGGGGGAUGGACUCGCGGCCUAUCAGGUAGUUGGUGAGGUAAUGGCUCACCAAGCCGACGACGGGUAGCCGGCCUGAGAGGGUGACCGGCCACACUGGGACUGAGACACGGCCCAGACUCCUACGGGAGGCAGCAGUGGGGAAUAUUGCACAAUGGGCGAAAGCCUGAUGCAGCAACGCCGCGUGAGGGACGACGGCCUUCGGGUUGUAAACCUCUUUUAGUAGGGAAGAAGCGAAAGUGACGGUACCUGCAGAAAAAGCACCGGCUAACUACGUGCCAGCAGCCGCGGUAAUACGUAGGGUGCAAGCGUUGUCCGGAAUUAUUGGGCGUAAAGAGCUCGUAGGCGGUUUGUCGCGUCUGCUGUGAAAUCCGGAGGCUCAACCUCCGGCCUGCAGUGGGUACGGGCAGACUAGAGUGCGGUAGGGGAGAUUGGAAUUCCUGGUGUAGCGGUGGAAUGCGCAGAUAUCAGGAGGAACACCAAUGGCGAAGGCAGAUCUCUGGGCCGUAACUGACGCUGAGGAGCGAAAGCAUGGGGAGCGAACAGGAUUAGAUACCCUGGUAGUCCAUGCCGUAAACGUUGGGAACUAGGCGUAGGGUCCAUUCCACGGAUUCUGUGCCGCAGCUAACGCAUUAAGUUCCCCGCCUGGGGAGUACGGCCGCAGGUAAC